CUUUCUACUUCUUGCAGUUUUACCAAAGAUAGCUUAUAGGGUCUUAUAUUUGAAAUCCUCCAGGUGCCAGGACCAUUGACACCAGAAAUGGAGGCACGGCAGGCUACACGGAAAAGGGAGCAGAAGGCAGCCCGGCGGCAACGGGAGGAACGGCAGCAGAGGCACCAGGAGCAGGAGGAGCGUGAACGAGAAGAGCAGCGGCGAUUUGCCGCCCUCAGUGACCGAGAGAAGAGAGCUCUGGCUGCAGAGUGCCGACUUGCUGCCCAGUUGGGAGCCCCUACCUCUCCGAUCCCUGACUCUGCAAUCGUCAAUACUCGGUAUGGGGCGGGAGGAUGAGGGAGUGGGUGGACUGUAAUGUUGCAGGGACCAUGGGGGAAGAGAAAUGAGUACCUGCACAGUAUUCAGAAGGGUGGUUGAGGGGAUUUAGGAUAUUCUGGCAGAUGCUGCAGUGAAAACAGAAAUGGCAGGAGGAGGGACAGGGAGAGCAUGGAUUGGAAAGUUUCUGAGGUACCUGUCCAGCCAUUUUUCUUCCUCUUGUUCAGACGCUGCUGGAGUUGUGGGGCAUCCCUCCAAGGCCUCACUCCCUUUCACUACCUCGACUUCUCUUUCUGCUCCACACGUUGCCUCCAGGAUCAUCGCCGUCAGGCAGGGAGGCCCUCUUCCUGAUCUCUUACAGCUCUACCUGGGGCCAACUCAGGGACCUGAGAGGGCACAUUCACAGCAGCCCUAGGUUUUUUCUUCCUCAUGAAACCAGAGAUGAUUUGGAAGAUGGGGGUGAAGGACACUCGGGAACUAGGGCAAAGACAGGGCCAGAGAGGUAUGUGGAGCUGGUACUGUCUCUGGAAGUUUAAUCACAAUAAAGUUUGGCAAGGAA
Molecule: small RNA, 874 nt
Filed under: Pongo abelii (Sumatran orangutan)
Lineage: Eukaryota; Metazoa; Chordata; Mammalia; Primates; Hominidae
Description: retained intron
Source: RNAcentral